GUCCUACAGAGAAGACACGAGUAUGGUUUUGUAUAAUAGAUUAAACUACAAAAUACUAUUCAGUGAUUGAUUUAUAAACAUGGAUAACCUCUCUAUUUGGAACGUUUCAGUAAUAAUUUGAUGAAAAGUAUGCCAGUAAAAAAGGAAGACAACAACAAAAGAUCAAUCGCUGCUAAAAGCAAAAUGAAGUAUGAAAGUGGAAUAAAAUCUGUUGACGAAGAGACCAUUAUGUCUUUGCUUGCUGAAAAUCUAUCU
Molecule: long non-coding RNA, 255 nt
Organism: Polistes dominula (European paper wasp)
Lineage: Eukaryota; Metazoa; Arthropoda; Insecta; Hymenoptera; Vespidae
Source: RefSeq, a predicted model, not a curated record